AACGAACGCUGGCGGCAUGCCUAACACAUGCCAGUCGAACGAGACCUUCGGGUCUAGUGGUGCACGGGUGCGUAACGCGUGGGAACCUGCCCUUAGGUUCGGAAUAACUCCCCGAAAGGGGUGCUAAUACCGGAUAAUGUCUUCGGACCAAAGAUUUAUCGCCUUUGGAUGGGCCCGCGUUGGAUUAGCUAGUUGGUAGGGUAAAAGCCUACCAAGGCGACGAUCCAUAGCUGGUCUGAGAGGAUGAUCAGCCACACUGGGACUGAGACACGGCCCAGACUCCUACGGGAGGCAGCAGUGGGGAAUAUUGGACAAUGGGCGAAAGCCUGAUCCAGCAAUGCCGCGUGAGUGAUGAAGGCCUUAGGGUUGUAAAGCUCUUUUACCCGGGAUGAUAAUGACAGUACCGGGAGAAUAAGCUCCGGCUAACUCCGUG
This 433-nucleotide ribosomal RNA is filed under the name uncultured bacterium. Its description in RNAcentral is "partial 16S ribosomal RNA". It matches the Rfam family "Bacterial small subunit ribosomal RNA", at positions 29 to 507 of the family's 1533-position model. The record is from RNAcentral.